Leptopilina heterotoma is the source of this 1234-nucleotide long non-coding RNA. RefSeq lists it as uncharacterized. The transcript has 2 exons. The record is from RefSeq and is a predicted model, not a curated record. Lineage: Eukaryota; Metazoa; Arthropoda; Insecta; Hymenoptera; Figitidae.
UUGUGAAUCCAGAGGCAUUUUCAGUCACCGGGUUUUUGGAUAGUCGAAUAAAAAAGAAGUUAUCGUCAUGCGAAGGUGGACUGAAAGCACUGUCAUCGAAAUCGUAUCUGAAAAUAAAAGAGUCAUGCGCGACUAUCUAAAAAUACGAGAUCUCGUGACUGCUAAACAGGCCAAGUCAUCGAUGCACGCCUUCUUGGAGCUACAAUGACGCUGACACGCGCAAUAUAACGCCUAAAUGAACUGUGUUCGUCUCUCCAAUUUUUUUAUUUUUUUUUUACAUUAAAACAAUAAAAGAACUCUAUUUAAGAAAAAUAUAGUCUACCAGUCACUCAUUAAUCAAUUAGUCACUUUAAUAAAUAAAAUUACUAUUUUAUAUUAUUGCAAAAAACAAGAAAUGUAAGCUCUUUAUCUUCCUCGUUAAAGAAUCUGUUGAUAAGAGUAAUAGAUUCACUUCUUGGAAAUUCAUCACUGACCAAAUAUUCAACAAGAAUGUAAAAAUUAUGAGUAUACAGUUUGUUAUUGUUUUGCUUCACAAAUUAUUUAAUUUGGAAUUAUUUGCGCAAUUCAGAUCUUGACACGAAGUAACCUUCGCGAUAAAUUCUAACAGAUGUGAGCCUUAAAAUGUAAACAUAUAAUUAUACUGGGAAAAUAAUAUAUCUAUCACAUUGGAAUAUUGAAUUAAUUAACAUUAUUAAAGAAAUAGCUUAAAAACGAGAAAAAAGAAAAAGAAAAAAUAUACUAAUUAAAAAAACAAGACAAAUGUCAAGCUGCUGACAAAAAUUAGUCAUAAUAAAACGGAGUGAAACUAAGAGAACAUGUUUUAUGUAACAAUAUGUGCAUGUAUUUCAUGUAUACUGUAUGUAUUAUUUUUAUCACGUGAACUUCAGAUUUUUCCGCUUUUAAAAUGAGAUACGAAGAUGAAUAAAAAAGUAAAUGAUCAAACCAGACUUGAAAAAACUAUGAAAAAAUUCACUUCUUUUUAGAAUUAAUAUUAAUUUAGUUGUGGAUUUUUUACGGAUAACUUUAUGAAAAACCAAAUACAAUUUUGACAUUGUCCUACAUUUUUUAACUCUCAUUCUUAUUAUUUGUCCGAAUAAAAAAUAUAAUUGAAGUGAAUAUUUCUUUCUUGUGUCGAAACGUAUAAUUAUAAUAUCGGUUCAUUAACCGUCAAUAUUAAUAUUCAUAUCAAUAAUAAUUCCCAAGUUUUUAUCAUUCAAAUGAACGAAAAAUUUUU